AGAGAGAGAGAGAGAGAGAAUUACAUAGCGCGAGCCAAGAGAGGAGAGAUUGACGAGCUUCUUCCAGAUGAGCGAUCCAGACAGCCAGCCAGAGAGAGGAGAUGGACUAACUUCUUCUUGCUCUUCAGCUCAGGGAGGAGGUCAAUCUAACGACCUCAUCAGUUUGUUUCAGUUGGUUUGACAGUUUAAACCAGUUGCAGGGCGGCGGCUGCCUGCCUCCCACAUCUCCUCCCUAUCCACCGGCGGUCGAGUUCUGGGAUCUUCUUACACCGGGCAGCCAUUUUGACUCGGACGACUCGGUGGAAGAAAGUUCUAGCUUCCUGGAGGAGUCCCAACUCGGCCUUCCUGUCCGGUCUCUUGUGGCAGCUGAUAACCGGCGGCGGCACGGCGUCAACUCGACACAAGGAAGACAUCUCCAGGCCCCCACAGGGCGGCGGGCACCGCCUCCUCCUCCUCCGGUGAGCUUGCUGCCACUUAAACUUGUCAUUCUCCCCUGCUCCGCCCUUCCCAAAGGCGCUUCACACUGUGAGGGAACAACUCCAUCAGCUUCAUGGCUCCGCCAUCUGCAGGGGCAAACCUUGGAAUUGUGUUCAUUGCCGUGAGAAGCAGGUCCGCCAUCGACGGGGAG
Molecule: long non-coding RNA, 628 nt
Filed under: Spirodela polyrhiza (greater duckweed)
Lineage: Eukaryota; Viridiplantae; Streptophyta; Magnoliopsida; Alismatales; Araceae
Description: long non-coding RNA (SPOL_LNC001360)
Source: RNAcentral